GCUCCAGUGGCCUAAUGGUUAGAGCAUUCGCCUCAGAUGUGGCAGGUCAUUGGUUCAAUCCCCGGUUGAGUCA
Potamilus streckersoni is the source of this 73-nucleotide non-coding RNA. The record is from the annotation of a GenBank genome assembly. NCBI's taxonomy places the organism in Eukaryota, Metazoa, Mollusca, Bivalvia, Unionida, Unionidae.